Molecule: long non-coding RNA, 5031 nt
Filed under: Musa acuminata (dwarf banana)
Lineage: Eukaryota; Viridiplantae; Streptophyta; Magnoliopsida; Zingiberales; Musaceae
Description: long non-coding RNA (MACU_LNC010707)
Source: RNAcentral
UAACACAUUGGAAGUGGGCAAUAAGUAUGAUUGGCUGGUUUAGGGCUUGUAGGUGUAUUAGGUCCUUUGAUUGACUUUAAUCAAUGAUUGUCUUUAACCUAUUAUAGGAGUAAUGGAGCCAAUUCCAGAGAUUAGUGGUCCUGCCACUCGGGGUGCUCAUGUCGCUGCUCGUAGAGCAAACCCAGUCCUCACGUACACCUGUCAUUGAUUAUGGGCCAGCUUCUCUGACUUCACAGAAUGCACCUCAUGCCCCAGCACCCGUCAAUGCCCAAAAUGACGUACAUGUAGUCCUCAAUGCUAUUAAAGGAUACUUUGAACGUCAGGAGGAGCGAGAUGAAAUUCCACGGGAUAUAAAUAAUACCUAAGACAUUCGAAGCUAUCGAAUGUAGGGAAAAUCAGAAAAUGCCUUUCGCUUCUUUCAUUUUGGAAGAGAAGGCAAACACUUGGUGGACCUAAAAAAGGAGGAUGUUAGAGGCUGAAGGUAAUGUGGUAACUUGUGAGUAGUUUAAAGAUGCAUUUUAUGAGCAGUUCUUUCCUGAUUAAGUUCGCUUUGAGAAGCAACAAGAGUUCCUUAGCAUCCACUAAGGAAGUAGAACUGUAAUGGAAUAUGAUCAUUAUUUUACUGAGUUGGCCCAGUUCUCUCCAUAUAUUGCUUUUAAUGAAAGUCAAAGAGCUCGUCAUUUUGAGAGGGGACUUCGAUCAUCAAUUAGAAAGUCCGUUGCAGUACUAAUUUUACCAACAUAUGCUGAAGUGUUAAAUUGAGCUCUGGUGGCGGAGAAAUUGGAUAAUGAACUACAAUAAGCAAAGGAUCGAAAGCGACUUUUUAAUGUUGCACUAUCUGCGUAUAGGGGAUCAAAUUCUGGACCCUUAAAGAAAGGAAAAGGCAAACAGUUUGGGCAUCAACAAGCAGGAGCUCCUAGCAAUCAAGUCGUCAUAAGAUGCUAUUUCUGUGGGAAGACAGAUCAUGUUUCCAUCUCAUGCCCCAUGGGACAACGUGUAGGUUUUUAUUGUCAACAACCGGGGCACGUGUCGAAGGACUGCCCUCGGAAGUAACAUCAACAUUGAGCUCCACUCCAAAUAGCUGGACAGCAACAACGAGGACCCAGAGAGGGAGGACAGGCAAGAGUCUACGCACUGACUCAUCAAGAUGCUGAAGCCUCGGGAUCUAUUAUUAAAGGUAUCAUCACACUCUGUGGUAUGCCAGCAUCUGUGCUUAUAGAUUCUGGUUCUACGCAUUCUUUUAUAUCGUCAUAUUUUGCUAUGAAACUGCAUAGGAAUCGUAAGACAAUGAGUAAUGCAUUAAUGGUAGUAACACCAGUUGGAAACUCUUUGAUAGUUGAUCAGAUAUAUAGAAACUACGUUAUUACUAUUGAAAGUCUCGAUUUGCUAGUAGAUCUUAUUCUACUAGAAUUUCAAGAUUUCGAUGCUAUCUUGGGUAUGGACUGGCUUUCAGCAUACCAUGCAAGUGUCGAUUGUUUCCGAAAGAUUGUUAUUUUCUCACCCCUAGAUCAACCAUCUUUUAAGUUCAUUGGGAUUCAAGAAAAGUUUCCUUCUAUUAUUUCAGCCUUGAGUGCUAUCCAACUAUUACUAAAGGGAUGUCAGGGAUACUUGGCCUUCAUUUCUAGAGAAGAAUAUAAGAAACCAGUAUUAAAGGACAUCCCCAUUGUACGGGAUUUUCCAAAUGUUUUUCCUGAAGAUCUACUUGCAUUGCUACCAAAUAGACAGAUUGAAUUUACAAUUGAUCUUCUACCUAGCACUGCACCUAUUUCUAAACCUCUGUAUAGAAUGACACUAAUUGAGUUGGAGGAGUUAAAGAAACAGAUCCAAGAGCUUUUGGACAAGGGUUUUAUUCGACCUAGUGUAUCACCUUGGGGUGCCCCUGUCCUAUUUGUGAAGAAGAAAGAUGGAUCUAUGCGACUAUGCAUCGAUUAUAGACAACUCAACCAAGUGACUAUAAAGAAUAAAUAUCCCCUUCCCUGAAUAGAUAACUUAUUUGAUCAAGGUACUCAGGUAUACUCGAAGAUUGAUUUGAGAUCCGGGUAUCAUCAACUAAAGAUAAAGGAAGGAGACAUACAGAAAACUGCUUUUAGAACAAGAUAUGGUCAUUAUGAAUUCUUGCUAAUGUCCUUUGGACUCACAAAUGCACCGGUUGCCUUAAUGGAUCUCAUGAAUAGGGUGUUCCACCCUUAUCUUGAUAAAUUUGUAAUUGCGUUCAUUGAUGAUAUCUUGAUCUACACCAAAAGCAUAGUAGAGUAUGAACACCAUCUUAAGACAGUUCUAGAAGUCCUAAGGCAAGAGAAACUAUAUGCCAAAUUAAGCAAGUGUAAUUUCUGGCUCAAUGAAAUUAUGUUUUUCGGUCAUGUAAUUUCGAGUGUUGGUAUAUCUGUUGACCCUCACAAGAUUGAAGCUGUGUUAAAAUGGAAGCAGCCUUCUAAUGUUUCGGAUAUUAGAAGCUUCUUGGGUUUGGCCGGAUACUAUAGAAGAUUCAUAGAAGGCUUCUCAAAAAUAGCAGCACCAUUGACUAGGUUGACACAAAAGAAUAUAAAGUUCAUGUGGGAUGAUAAAUGUCAACAAAGUUUUCAAGAAUUGAAGAAAUUGACUAGUGCUCCUAUCUCGGUGAUUCCUUCAGGAGGAGAAGGUUUUGUAGUGUAUAGCGACGCCUCACUAUAAGGGCUUGGUUGUGUUCUGAUGCAAAACGAAAGGGUAAUUGCUUAUGCAUCUAGGCAAUUAAAGCCUCACGAGAAGAACUAUCCUACUCAUGACUUAGAGGUAGCAGCUAUCAUUUUUGCACUGAAAAUUUGGAGGCAUUAUCUCUAUGGAUAAACUUUGAAAUCUUCACAGAUCAUAAGAGUCUCAAAUAUAUUUUCACACAGAAAGAUUUAAAUAUGAGACAAACAAGAUGGUUGGACUUUCUAAAGGAUUAUGAUUUUAAUAUCAACUACCAUCCUGGGAAGGCUAAUGUAGUUGCUAAUGCCUUAAGCAGAAAUACCUAUAGUCUUGUAGCCUACAUGAAUAUUCAAAGGAAUUCUAUGAUGACGGAGUUGACAAACUUAAAACUUAAAACUUUUAUUGGAGACAAAUAAAGGUUUUCUUACGUGUCUGAUGGCGCAAUCAUAUUUGGUAGAAAAGGUUAAAGAAUGUCAGAAGGAAGAUACAUAUCUUCAGAUGAUAGUUAAUGAGAUAGCUCAAGGAUCUAGACCUGAAUUCCUCCAAGUCGAAGAUGGUUCUAUUACAUUCCACACUCGACUUUGUGUUCCCGAAAGGCAUCCAGUAAAGAUGCAAUUAUUGGAGGAGGCACAUAGAUCAAAAUUUAAUAUCCAUCCCGGGACUACUAAAAUGUAUCGAGAUUUAUGCCAAAACUACUGGUGGCGUGGUAUGAAGAGAGAUAUAGCAGAGUUUGUUUCUAAAUGUUUGAUAUGCCAACAAGUGAAGAUAGAACAUCGAGUACUUGCGGAAAAAUUGCAAAGGAUUUCGAUUCCUGAAUGGAAGUGGGAGCAAGUCACUAUGGAUUUUGUGACAGGAUUACCCAAGACUGCGAAAGGAUAUGACGGAAUUUGGGUAGUAGUAGACAAACUUACUAAAUCUGCUCACUUCCUCCCUAUUAACAAGAAGUAUUCAUUGGAUAAACUAGCAAGCUUAUAUAUUAAGGAAAUUAUUCGAUUUAAGGAAAUUAUUCGAUAUCAUGGGGUGCCAGUUAGCAUUAUCUCAAAUAGAGAUCCAAGGUUCACCUCAAAAUUUUGAGGAAGUCUACAAAAAUAUUUGGGCACGCAGUUAAAGUUUAGUACAGCUUUUCACCCCCAAACUGAUGGCCAAUCUGAAAGGACAAUACAAACUCUUGAAGAUCUCUUAAGAGCAUAUGCUUUGGACUUUGGUGGGAGUUAGGAUAUGCACUUGCACCUAAUUAAGUUUUCCUAUAAUAAUAGUUACCACUCUAGCAUACAGAUGGCUCCAUUUGAAGCUCUUUAUAAAAGAAAGUGCAGAUCACCUGUAUAUUGCGAUGAGGUAAGAGAACGAAAGCUUUUGGGACCUCAAUUAAUUCAGAAAGAUGCUGAUAAUGUUCGAAUUAUACGCCAAAGAUUAUUAACAGCUCAAAGUCGUCAGAAAAGUUAUGCAAAUCGAAGGCGAAGAGAUCUAGAGUUCGAAGUUGGUGAGCAUGUCUUCUUAAAAGUGUCGCCAACCAAGGGAGUUAUGAGGUUUGGCCAAAGGGGGAAGUUAGCCCUAAGAUUCAUUGGCCCAUUUGAGAUCUUACAAAAGGUCGGGCCUGUGGCGUACAGAUUGGCAUUGCCCCCGACUUUGGUUAGCAUCCAUGAUGUAUUCCAUGUGUCUAUGCUUCGAAGAUAUAUCAGGGAUCCAUCAUAUGUCAUAUCUUACUAACCUUUACAACUAAGAGAUGAUGCCACUUUUGGAGAACAACCAACCCAAAUCCUAGAAAGGAAAGAACAUGUUCUAAAAAAUAAAAUUAUACCUCUAGUAAAUAUUUGUUGGCAACACUAUUCAGACCAAGAGACAACGUGGGAAAGAGAAGAAGAUAUGCGAGAGCAGUAUCCUCAUCUAUUCUAUUAAAGUGAGCUAAAUUUGGGGAUCAAAUUUCCUAUAGGGGAGAAAUGUAAUCACAUCAAAUAUUGAAGUUAGGAAUUAAUUUUUUCCUUACUUGCCAUUGUAAUUUAAGGAAAUCUUAAUCUAUUUCCUUGUUUGCUAAUACGAAUUAGGAAAUAACUAUUAAUCAUUCCAAAUAGGGUGAUAUCAUAUUUGUUAAAAUAUUAAAUGAAAAUAAUUUAUAUUAAAUAAAUACGAAAAUUAAAAUAAAUUUCCUUUAAUGGAGGCUCACCUCCUUCUAUUUAAGGGGAGGGAUUUCUCUCCUUCGUUCCUCACCUACUCGAGCCUGACAGCGGGAGGAACGAGGAGUUACACCCUGCUGACGAGAGGUAGGUUUCCCUACCUUCCUUGAAAAUAAAAGUUUUAGUCUUUAUUUUGAUUCUUUAAAUGUUGAAUAUUUUGUAGUUUGAAAGAUAUUUAUUAAUUCUUUAAAUG